RNAcentral lists this ribosomal RNA (119 nucleotides) under Lepisosteus oculatus (spotted gar). The record is from RNAcentral. Lineage: Eukaryota; Metazoa; Chordata; Actinopteri; Semionotiformes; Lepisosteidae.
GCCAGCAGCUAUAGCACCCUGCAACUCACAACUGGCAGCCCACUGAAGCUCAGCAGGUGUGGGCCUGGUCAGUACCUGGAUGGGAGACCUCCUGGGGAAAACUAAGGAUGCUGCUGGAA